Molecule: long non-coding RNA, 455 nt
Organism: Carassius gibelio (silver crucian carp)
Lineage: Eukaryota; Metazoa; Chordata; Actinopteri; Cypriniformes; Cyprinidae
Exons: 3
Source: RefSeq, a predicted model, not a curated record
AGAUGUUAAAAGCAAGAGACAUGGGAGAGCAUCAUUCCUUUGAGAUUUUAUAAAUCAAACCAACUUUGGAGUUGUCUGAUUUGGAGAGUCAUUAUUCUUGGUCUGCGCUCUUAGAGGCCACUGAUGAAGAACAGGCGGUGACUGGGAUGAAUCCUGGUCAGAGAGGAGAAUCUUCUUUCCCCUAAACUGAUGCAGCAGUGGUUUUAAAGGAGGACGCUGCCCUGGAUGAUGUAGAAGAUGUCACAUGCUGUGCUGAUGGGGUUUCUUCAUGAUUACAUCAGUUAUGCUAAAGAGAUCAUGAAAAUUGACCGUGAUGCAUGAUCUGUAUUCAUGGACUAUGAAACAAACUGUAAGUGUAUAAUUUGUUAAAAAAAAAAAAAAAGUUAAAUGCUUUUUCUGUGUUGUUUAGUAGAAGAGUUUACACUCUGUCAUUCAUACACCUGCUCACAUUCUUU